UACGGAGGGUGCAAGCGUUGUCCGGAUUUAUUGGGUUUAAAGGGUACGUAGGCGGCAUUAUAAGUCAGUGGUGAAAGUUUUCGGCUCAACCGAGAAAGUGCCAUUGAUACUGUAGUGCUUGAGUAUUGUAGAGGUAGGCGGAAUUCCGCAUGUAGCGGUGAAAUGCAUAGAUAUGCGGAGGAACUCCAACAGCGAAGGCAGCUUACUGGACAAUAACUGACGCUGAGGUACGAAAGCGUGGGUAUCGAACAGG
Molecule: ribosomal RNA, 253 nt
Filed under: uncultured bacterium
Lineage: Bacteria
Description: partial 16S ribosomal RNA
Rfam family: Bacterial small subunit ribosomal RNA
Source: RNAcentral